GGGCGGAAUGGGGGCGGCCGCCCCCCGCGGGCGCCCGGCGGAUCGCGGACGAGCGGCGCGGCCCGGCGGUGCCGCCUGACGGAGCGGCGCGGAGGUUGCCCAGUCACUAUGAACAAUGGCCCAGCUAUACUACAAAAAGGUAAAUUACUCACCAUACAGAGACCGGAUCCCGCUGCAGAUCGUGCGGGCAGAGGCAGAGCUGUCGGUGGAGGAGAAAGCCUACCUCAGUGCUGUGGAGAAGGGGGACUAUGCCAGCGUGAAACAUGCCCUGCAAGAGGCAGAGAUCUACUACAACAUCAACAUCAACUGUAUGGAUCCUCUCGGUCGCAGCGCCCUUUUAAUAGCCAUAGAGAAUGAAAACCUGGAGAUCAUGGAGCUGCUGCUGAGCCACAGCGUGUACGUGGGGGACGCGCUGCUCUACGCGAUACGCAAAGAGGUGGUGGGAGCUGUGGAGCUGCUGCUCAACUACAGGAAGCCGAGCGGUGAAAAGCAGGUUCCAACCUUGAUGAUGGACACCCAGUUUUCAGAGUUCACUCCAGACAUCACACCAAUCAUGCUGGCAGCUCACACCAACAACUAUGAAAUCAUCAAACUGCUUGUCCAAAGACGGGUAACGAUUCCACGCCCACACCAGAUCAGAUGCAACUGUGUGGAAUGUGUCUCCAGUUCGGAGGUGGACAGCCUGAGGCAUUCCAGGUCAAGGCUGAACAUCUACAAAGCCUUAGCCAGCCCUUCAUUGAUUGCCUUAUCAAGUGAGGAUCCCAUUUUGACAGCCUUCCGACUGGGCUGGGAGCUGAAGGAGUUGAGCAAAGUGGAAAAUGAAUUCAAGGCUGAAUAUGAAGAACUUUCACAGCAAUGCAAACGUUUUGCCAAGGACCUUUUGGAUCAAGCACGGAGCUCCCGAGAACUGGAGAUCAUUCUCAAUCACAGAGAUGAUCAAAGUGAAGAGCUGGACCCCCAAAAAUGUCAUGAUUUGGCAAAGCUAAAGGUAGCAAUAAAGUACCACCAGAAAGAGUUUGUUGCUCAGCCAAACUGCCAGCAGCUACUAGCAACACUUUGGUACGAUGGUUUUCCAGGAUGGAGGCGGAAACACUGGGCCGUGAAACUGUUGACCUGUGUCACCAUUGGACUGCUGUUCCCCGUGCUGUCCGUGGCGUACCUGAUUGCACCCAAGAGCAGGCUGGGACUGUUCAUUAAAAAGCCAUUUAUAAAGUUUAUCUGCCACACCGGCUCUUACCUGACCUUCCUCUUCAUGCUCCUGCUGGCGUCGCAGCACAUCGUCAGGACUGACCUUCACAUGCAGGGGCCACCUCCCACCAUCGUGGAGUGGAUGAUCCUGCCCUGGGUUCUAGGUUUUAUCUGGGGAGAAAUCAAGGAAAUGUGGGAUGGUGGAUUCAAUGAGUAUGUACAUGACUGGUGGAAUCUGAUGGAUUUUGCAAUGAACUCCCUCUAUCUUGCAACUAUCUCCCUCAAAAUUGUUGCCUAUGUCAAGUAUAAUGGUUCCCGUCCCAGGGAGGAAUGGGAAAUGUGGCACCCGACCCUCAUUGCAGAAGCCCUCUUUGCAAUAUCCAACAUUUUAAGUUCCUUGCGUCUCAUAUCCCUUUUUACAGCCAAUUCCCACCUGGGACCCUUGCAGAUCUCUCUGGGACGCAUGCUGCUGGACAUCCUUAAAUUCCUUUUUAUCUACUGUCUGGUGCUUCUGGCUUUUGCAAAUGGACUGAACCAGCUUUAUUUUUAUUAUGAGACCAGUGCCUCGGAGGAACCCAACAACUGCAAGGGGAUCCGAUGUGAGAAACAGAACAAUGCCUUCUCCACACUUUUCGAGACCCUCCAGUCCCUCUUCUGGUCUGUGUUCGGGCUGCUGAACCUCUAUGUCACCAACGUGAAAGCCAGACAUGAGUUCACAGAGUUUGUUGGGGCCACCAUGUUUGGGACCUACAACGUCAUCUCCCUUGUUGUGCUGCUGAACAUGCUCAUAGCCAUGAUGAACAACUCCUACCAGCUCAUUGCUGACCAUGCCGACAUCGAGUGGAAGUUCGCACGGACGAAGCUCUGGAUGAGUUACUUCGACGAAGGUGCCACUCUGCCCCCUCCCUUUAACAUUGUCCCCAGUCCCAAGUCAGUCUGGUACCUUUGCAAGUGGAUCCACAACCAGCUGUGCCCAGGUGAUGACUCUGACAAUGAACAGAAGAGGCAUGAAAACCUCAAAACAUUCACAGAACGACACGCUGACAACCUGAUUCAGAAUCAACAUUACCAGGAAGUGAUAAGAAAUCUUGUGAAAAGAUAUGUUGCAGCAAUGAUAAGGACUUCCAAAACCAACGAAGGCUUAACUGAAGAAAAUUUCAAGGAAUUAAAACAGGACAUCUCAAGUUUUCGCUAUGAGGUUCUUGACCUCUUAGGAAAUAGAAAGCCCCAGAGGAGGAGUUAUUCAACCAGCAGCACAGAGGUGUCCCAGAAGGAUGAAACAAAUGAGGACGGUGCUGGAGAAAAAUCCAGAGCCAAGAGCGUGUCUUUCAAUGUAGCCAACAAAAAAAAGGACUUCAAUGUAUCUGCUCUGAUUAAAACCGUGUCUGGGAUCGAUAUUGUGGAAGAGAAGCCAAAAAGCAACGGGAUCAGUAAGCGCUCCUUUGUCCGAAACGGAAACAGAGUUCAGAGACUCUCCAGCUCCAAGAAGGAAUCCUUCAAGAGACUGGGCCUGCUCUUCUCCAAGAUGAACGGACACGUACCUGAACCCAGUUCAGAACCCAUGUACACUAUUUCAGAUGGAAUUAUUCAGCCACACUACAUGUGGAAAGACGUUAAAUAUUCUCAGAUUGACAGAGAGAGAGAAGAGAAUUGUUCCAGAAGUGAAAUUAACCUCAAUGAGGUGGCCUACAGUGGGAACACGAGACUUACAGGACAGAGCAAGGAAUGUCCUGUGGUUUGUGCCAGCUCCCUUCACUGUGCUUCCAGUAUUUGUUCCUCUAAUUCCAAACUUAUAGACUCGUCAGAGGAUGUGUUUGAUUCCUGGGGAGAGGCCUGUGACUUGUUCAUAAACCAGUGGAAAGAUGGACAGGAGGAUCACGUUACCACUCGGCUCUAAGUAAAACUAUCUUAACACUCACUGGAAAACCUACCCAAGAAUUGGUAAUUGUUUGCUCUCAUCUGAUUCAGCAUUACUGUUCCCUUUCUGUCCACAGGUGAAAAAAAAGUGUAAACACACUUAUGUUAGCCUAUUUUAUAACCAUCUGCACAGUUUUUAAUUUAUUUUUUUACACUCGCUAAUACUAAACUAAAGGUUUCACCAUUUAUAAGGUCACUAUAAACCACAGGAAUCCCUUCAGAUGUAGUCUUAGUCUUCAAACCCCACAGACUUCAGAUGCACUGGUGGCUGAGGAAAGGAUUUCUCCAGUGGUCCCACCAUCAUUCCACCCCAGGUGUGCAAAGCAAAACCAACCCCCAGCCAUAACAGCAAUAGAACCUCCUAACAGAGCUCAAAGCACUUGCAAUUUUAACAGCCAGACUGAUCCUGCAGUUCCUUCCUCGCAAACAGAACCACAGAAUGGUUUGGGUUGGAAGGCACCUCUGGAGAUCACCCAGUCCCACCCUCCUGCCAAGGCAGGGCCAUCUGACAGACCCUUCUCAAUCAGUACUCAACUACAGGCACCAGUGCAGCCCCUUCCCCCUGCCUGCCAUGUCCUCUGCCAGCAUGGCUGAUUUUAGUUAUUUGGGGGAUUUUUGAAUUUCCCUCUCCCAUUUAAAGCAUUUCCAUCUCAGCAGUAACUCCUAAGCCAGAAGAGAUGCUGUGCUUAGGACUGUGACCUAAGGAGCUGGCCUUUCAGCACGUUAGCUAACAGAACACUGUGACACCUCCAGCCAACAGAGCGAGAUGCCUUUGGACUAUAAAUAGUUGCUUUGCAGCAAGGGGGCACUUUUUGGUCUAGCUCAUUUUUUGGGUAUUGUACAGUUAUUUAAAAAAACUCCUGAAUGUGUUACUGAGGUGGGUCUGGGAACUAGAGGGCUAAGGAUCUUUGAGGAGCAAAAGACAGUAGCAGAUCCUUAAGCACUCUAUUUUCUAUCUGGUGAGCCCUGGAGACCGGGCUGACUCUAAGAACGGUUUUUUAAGAAAUCAAAUUUUAAUAUCAAAUAUUCAUUUCAAAAAAAGCUACCACAGAAACGGCUUCACAGCGGAGCAUAUUUUAAAAUGCCAUUUUACUCCACUGGAUAAAAAAGGUGAGGCUUUUUUUUUUUCCUCCUCUCCUUCUUCUUUAGUUUUGGUCAAAAACUAAAGUUUUUUCCAGGCAAAAGAGCUAUUAGAUGUAAGAAUCUGUGUAUGUAAGGACAGAGUGGCAACCUCAGCAUUUGCCAGUUAAGUGGUAAUAGCCACCUCUGGAGAAAAGGGGGAGAAAAGGGCAAGAGCAAAAAGCAAAAACAAAUGCUUAGUUUUAUGUACUUUUCUACUUGCAUCUCUUCCAUCUGUAGUGCAGAAUCCAUGUCAUACCCUCGUAUAACCUGUACAAAAUGAAACAAUGUACAUAAUAGAUAAAAUUAUUUAUUUUAUGUGUAUUUUUAGCUUAACUGUAAACUGGAAAAAAAAAAAGGCAUUUAAUUUUUUCCCAAAAAUGUAAGCCUAUUGAAAAUCAAGGUGUUUCUACCUUUUCAAGAUGUAACAUUUCCAGCUGCCUAUUGAUAAUAAACAUUUAUGAACAGCAA
Molecule: RNA transcript, 4695 nt
Organism: Pseudopipra pipra
Lineage: Eukaryota; Metazoa; Chordata; Aves; Passeriformes; Pipridae
Gene: TRPC5
Gene name: transient receptor potential cation channel subfamily C member 5
Exons: 12
Source: RefSeq, a predicted model, not a curated record